UUAAUUGAAACCAAAGAGAGGUAUAUCACUGUUAAUGAUAAAAUUGAGAAGUCUCCAAUUAAA
Molecule: transfer RNA, 63 nt
Filed under: Exosoma lusitanicum
Lineage: Eukaryota; Metazoa; Arthropoda; Insecta; Coleoptera; Chrysomelidae
Description: tRNA-Asn
Source: RNAcentral